UACGGGGGGAGCAAGCGUUGUUCGGAUUUACUGGGCGUAAAGGGCGCGUAGGCGGCCACCGCAAGUCGACUGUGAAAUCUCCGGGCUUAACCCGGAAAGGUCAGCCGAUACUGCGGGGCUAGAGUGCAGAAGGGGCAACUGGAAUUCUCGGUGUAGCGGUGAAAUGCGCAGAUAUCAGGAGGAACACCAAUGGCGAAGGCAGCACUCUGGGACGUGACUGACGCUGAGACGCGAAAGCGUGGGGAGCAAACAGG
RNAcentral lists this ribosomal RNA (254 nucleotides) under uncultured bacterium. RNAcentral describes it as "partial 16S ribosomal RNA". It matches the Rfam family "Bacterial small subunit ribosomal RNA", at positions 524 to 776 of the family's 1533-position model. The record is from RNAcentral.